This is a long non-coding RNA of Ictalurus punctatus (channel catfish), 905 nucleotides long. The record is from Ensembl. NCBI's taxonomy places the organism in Eukaryota, Metazoa, Chordata, Actinopteri, Siluriformes, Ictaluridae.
UGACUGAAUCAUAAAAUCAUUAUAUGAUAAUCAAUAAUUAUAUGAAAAUUUGUAUUCAUUCAUUCAUUCAUUCAUUCAUUCAUUCAUCUUCAGGAACUGCUUAACAUCCUUGUCAGGGUCAUGGUGGAUCCAAAGAAAUCCCUUGAAUACUGGAUGCAAGACAUGGCCGACCCUACCUUCUGCUCCUCACUAUUCAGGCAGGAUUUUGGGCCUCAUGUUCAUCUAGCGACAGAAGCAUGAUGAGCCACUAUGGAAUUGCUUCAGAGGAUCUACUGGCUCGUUGAGGUUCAGGCAUGGAGACGCGCUGAGAACAAGAAAAAUUGUUUUGGGCCCCCGGGAGUUGAAUCGAUAGCCUAAGAUUGGACAGUGCUGAGCGCCUCAGCACGGAGACCUGCUCUCUCAGGGGGCAGUGUAGGGAGCGCUUCAAGGUGGAAUAACUAUCUUUAGCUGGGGUGUGUUUGGAAACACAGGACGAAUAAGAGAUGAGUGACCGAGGUGAUGGAAAUAUAGAGAGACCAUCAUCAUCGCCCCAGCUUUUUUUUUUUUUUUCCCAAGUGCUCCAUGCCGCGUCUGUGUGAAAGAUGCCUCCAUCAGCAAAAUGGUGGUGACAGUCUGAGGGGAAUGAGCUCAUGAAGUGAUUACGAGAGCGGGUGGCAGUCAUUCAGACCCCCGAGAUGACAGCACAUCCACGGAGAAAGUGCCCGACUGGCAUUAAUCCCAGAGAAAAUCGCCAGCCUCCAGGAAUGCAUUGUGGGCCUGAUAAAAUGGUUGUUAUAAUAUGCACUUAAUCAGCAGGUCCUCUCCAAGUCUCCUGGUAUUUCCAAACUGGAGGGAGUCUUUGUGAGGGACCUGAAACAUCAAAGCCAAAUGACAGAGUCUUAUUAUCUUUUAAUGCAGAAUAUGGC